UGAAUCAAACAAAAAUUUGAUAUAUUAAUUGAUAAUGAAAAAGCAUUGUUAGUUGUAGCCUUAUGUGGAAACCAUUCAGAUUAAAGAACUUAAUAGAGGUAUAGUCUGUUCUAGUUUUUAAACUAUAGUUUCCUACAGGACAUGAGUAGAAUUGAAAUUGAUCAAUAUCUUUUGCACAUUAUUGGAUACCUAAUAGGAAAGGAUCACUCAUUCUCUAGCUGUGAAGCACUUAUUGUGUUAUAAUCUCCCAAUAUUAAUGCUGUGCCUAAUGGUCUGACUGAGAAUGCAUGAGUUCCUCUCCAUGAAAGGCUGAGCUGGUUUUCCUGUCAAGAAACGACACUCUGCUUUACAUGCAGCUAGAUGAGAUAUCAUGUAACAUUAGAAUUGAACUGCAGUCACGUAGGAGCUGUUUUAUCUUCCUAUCAGCUCAGUUAUCCUGAGUCUCAGGAAACAGCAGAUACUCGCUAUGUCUUCUUAACACUUGCUGUAUCUGGCCAUGUUGUGUGCUUUCUACAGAAAAGCAGAAGGAACAUAUAAAGAUUCACCAUAAUGAGAAAAUAAAUUGUCAUGGCCCAAAAUAUUGCAGAGUACAACCAGCAUUUACUGUCUGGUUAUGCAAAACACUCCUUAACACCAGAAGCAUCAACAUCCAAUCAGGCCUGUAAUUAAACGUCUCAUCAAAUCUAUUUUCCUCUCCAGUCAUUUCAAUCCAAUCAUCCAGCAGGAUUAUUGGAGCGCAGUGGGAGGGAGUACACAGCACAGAGCUUGUCCAAGAUGGAGGAGCUUCCUGUCGUUUCUCAGUGAAGUGAAUGUGAGGGCAGACGGCAGGAGCUGGACGAUGCUGGCUGCUGGAGCCAGUCCAGUCACUGUAUUGGCAAAGAGGGAGAGAGAGGCCCCCUGACAGAAGGACCACAGGACAAGGACACAUUCCUCUUUUCCAUACAACACGACAACUAAACUCAUCUGAGCUGUUUUCAUUACAACUAACUCACAUAUACGAGAAGAAGAUCCAAGCAAAGCCUGAAGAGAAGACACUGUGGGCUAAAUCAGUGAUUUCAUGCUUGCCUCCAAAAGACCACAGCUAUCCAAAGCAAUGAGCUUCACUGGAGGGUAACCCCGACUGUGCAGGUGCCCCCAACCAGGAAGAAUACCAGCAGUGACAGGACGAGAACCCUCACUGGCUUCCCACCCGUGAACACAGCCAUUUGUUUUUCUUGGAACACAUGACCACCACCACCACCACCACCACCGGGUACCAAACCCAGGGUCUUUUUUCUUUUUGUCUGACAGACCUACAUUCUGUACAUACUGAUGUACAGAAGCUGCACUUCUACUGAUACAAAUAUCAUAUUCUACCUCAUACUGACACUAUAAUAUUAUAUAUAGGACUUACAAAUACAGAAGUUUCAAUCUGUGAAACACAUUUUGUGUGUUUUCAUGAUUAGAGACAAAUUAGCACAUUGCCUGACUUACAAUUUAAUAUGAUCUGACUGUAUGCUGAAAUUAUUAGGGAAAUAUGCUGAUUUAGUCAACUAUUUUUUGUUUGAAUAAAAUUAAUCUAAAAAUGUGUUUACUUGCCAAGAUUUCCUUACAUCCCUUUGGGUUCUAGUAACUUUUAAUUGUCAUGUGUUACUAAUAUUACGGUUUGAGAUUGAUUGAUUCUGAUAAACAUGUCAUCAAAGUACUAAGCUGAGUAGAAAGAAGAAGUGUGAGGC
This is a long non-coding RNA of Thunnus maccoyii (southern bluefin tuna), 1715 nucleotides long. RefSeq lists it as uncharacterized. Lineage: Eukaryota; Metazoa; Chordata; Actinopteri; Scombriformes; Scombridae. The transcript is spliced from 5 exons. The record is from RefSeq and is a predicted model, not a curated record.